This 10947-nucleotide long non-coding RNA is filed under the name Coffea arabica (coffee). RNAcentral describes it as "long non-coding RNA (CARA_LNC003796)". Lineage: Eukaryota; Viridiplantae; Streptophyta; Magnoliopsida; Gentianales; Rubiaceae. The record is from RNAcentral.
UACGGGGUAUCUCCCGUAAGGAUUCUCAAAGGUAUCUGCAUAAGUUAUGUGUGGAUAAUCACAUAAGAUUACUUGUUUUGAUUGAGCUUAUGACGGAUGCUUCGCAAUUACUUUCAAUUUGUCGUAUGUUGCACUUUUCAAAGGGGUGUUCGGUUUUGGAAGGUACAAUGUGGGUUUUGUGGCAGGAUGAGCUGGUGGCCCAGCUCCGUGAAGUAGGGGAUCAACUGGCUAACAUGGAGAUAAGUUAGGGGGGAUUUACCUUCCUUUUCUCGGCAGUAUAUGCUAAAUGUACACUAGUAGGGAGACGGGAGUUAUGGAAGGCAAUAGAGUCAAUCCAUGGCAUUAAUGAGGGCCCGUGGAUGGUGGCGGGUGACUUCAAUGUUAUUUUGAAUGCUCAGGAGCGCUUCGGGGGGCACCUCCCAAUCUCCGUAACAUGGAGCAAUUUAACGACGCGACUUUCAAUUGUGGCCUAGCGGAGGUGGACUUCGAUGGUUCGGCCAUCACUUGGACAAAUGGAGUACUUUGGCAGCGUUUGGACAGAGCUUUAUCCAACGCCGCUUGGUCGGAAUUAUUUUCUACUACUACUAUCUCACACCUAAUGCCAAGUUGUGCGGACCAUGCUCCGCUCUUGAUCAAGAGCGGAUACCCAAGACCCGGAUCCCCGACUUUUCGUUAUCUGAAUGUUUGGAAACGAUAUCCGAACUUCUUGUUAGUGGUUCAACAGGCGUGGCAUGGGUCGGUUAAUGCCGACGGUAUGGUGGGGUUUCAUCGGAAAUUAGUUAACCGAUCCUAUGGCAAUAGAGCAGGCAAGUUAUUGGUAACAUUUUUCAGGCUGUCAAGGAAGCAGAGGAGGUACUCCGUCAGAGCGAGAAGGAGUUCAAUGAGAGGCGGGAUGCAUUAGCGAAAGGAAAGCUAAGGGAAGCUCGGGCAAGUUAUGCGAGGGCGCUGGCUAUGGAGUGCGAGUUCUGGUGACAAAAAUUGUCAAUCAGAUGGCUUCGUGAAGGGGAUGCCAAUACCAAAUUCUUUCAUUCCGUAGUCAAGCAACGGCAAAACACGAAUUUCAUAGUUCGGAUAAAGGAUGAGACGGGUCGUUGGGUGGAGGACGAGGGUGCCAUUAAACACUCAGCCACUCAAUUUUAUCAAAACUUGUUCACGUCAGAGCGUCAGGACAGGUGGCCCCCCUAUUGGAUUUUCCGAUCCCAAGAAUCACUCAUGGGGACAAUGUUAAGUUACAGCGCCCUCCUAUUUUGGAAGAGGUCAAAGAAGUGGUGUUUUCUCCAGGCCCAGACGGUUUCGGGGCUGGCUUUUAUCAGACAUGUUGGCAAAUUAUAGGCGACGAUUUGGUUGAUGCGGUUCAGGAGUUCUUUCAGGGGGUUCAGCAGCUGAGGGGAUUGUCAAGUGCAGCUAUUGUGCUGAUCCCGAAGGUGCAAGGGGCGGCUUAAUGGAAAGAUUACUGGCCGAUCAGUUUCUGCAACGUGAGCUCGAAAGUGAUUUCCAAAAUUUUGGCGAAUCGCCUCCAGGCCAUGCCUCCUAGGCUGAUCUCCCCCUGGCAGACAGGUUUCGUACCAGGGAGGGCUAUUACAGAGAAUAUUUUGCUAGCUCAGGAGCUAGCUUUGGACCUGGAUAGGAAGUUACGCCAUCCCAAUUUGAUGCUGAAACUUGACAUGGAAAAAGCAAACGAUCCGAUGGAGUGGAAUUUUCUCAUUUUUAUGCUUCGCCAAUUUGGGUUCCAGGAACAAGCAGUCGAUCUUAUGUUCAGAACAGUAUUGAAUAAUUGGUUUUCGAUUUUAAUCAAUGGUUCACCAGGGGAGUACUUUAGAGCCUUUAGAGGAGUUCGACAGGGGGAUCCCCUCUCUCCAGCUAUGUUCUUAUUAGUGUCAGAAUUUUUGGGGAGAGGGCUACAGCACCUCUUCGAACAAAAUGAGAGUCGGUAUUAUGUCUCACCUGGUUCUCGGGUCCCGUAUCUUGCAUUUGCUGACGAUAUGCUAGUCCUUACUUGCUGUUCAGAGGAUUGUUUAGAUUCACUGGUAGCGUUCUUCGCGCGUUAUAAAGCUUACUCUGGGCAGAGAAUAAAUGGGGGUAAAAGCUCCUUUAUUCUCUCUAACAGAGCAUUGGAGGAUACGGUUGCCUUGGUGCGGGAGAAGUUACAGUUCCAGCAGCAAAUGCUACCUUUUGUAUAUUUAGGAGCCCCUAUAUCCCGAAGCAGAGUGACAUGCAUACUUUUUGACCCAAUUUUGGCAAAGAUGCAAAGUCGUUUGUCUCAUUGGAGCUCCCGAUUGAUCUCGGAGGGGGGUAAGUUAGUCCUAUUCCGACAUGCACUCUCCUCCAUUCCAAUGUAUCUGCUGCAGGUCCUUCAACCUCCACGAGCAAUUUUCCAGAGGCUGGGUAGAAUAUGCAAUGCUUUCUUGUGGGAUAAAGCGAAUGGUUCGAAUGGUAUCCAUUGGACCUCAUGGGAGAAGGUUUGCUUCCCAACAUCGGAGGGGGGCUUGGGAGUGCGAUCCUUCGGGGACAUAAGUGUGGCCUUUGCAUGCAAACUGUGGUGGUAGUUACACCAGAAUAGAUCACGGUAGGCGGAUUUCAUGCGUGUGAAGUACAUCAAGGGGGAACACCCAUCUAAGGUGCAAGUGAGCCGGCCCACAAGGAUCUGGCGACGGUUACAGCAGGUCCGCGAUUUUAUGGAGUCGAAGAUUCGGUGGUGCUUGGGUAAAGGGUUUGUCGACUUUUGGUAUGACAAGUGGCUCUUAGAGGUGCCCUGGUUGAGAAAGUAGGUGUAGUUGACCCGCCACACAUGCUAGUAGCUGGGUUUUUGGAGAGAGAGGAUGGAACACUGGGUUGCUAUAGGCCUGGUUACUGAUGGGUUUGGUUCGCCAGGUCCAGGAGGUUUCCUUACAUCCGGACCAGGAGGAUGAAAUGGUGUAGGUAGGGUCUUCAUCGGGAGUUUUCUCAAUCAAAGACGGGUGGGAGGCCCUGCGGCAGAAAAGAAAUCUCUCUAGGGCUGAUAGGUUCAUAUGGAAUAGAGUCCUGCUGCUCAAAAUUUCCUUCCUAGUGUGAAAAGUGAUGUGUAAUAUGGUUCCGGUGGAUGUAAAUUUGCAACGGCGGGGCAUCAAGUUGGCGUCUCGGCGCUGCUGUUGCUCCUUGCAUGAAAAGUCCUUGACUCACCUAUUUCUCGACGGGGCAGUAGCAGAGCAGGUUUGGGGUUUCUUUCGAAGACGGUUUCGGAAUUCUUCAUACUAGUUCCCCCUCAAUCUCGACGGAGUGUCUCUCUUGGUUUGCUUCUACUUCAUCAAUCUCUGCAAAUCAUAUACGGACUGCUCUUCCAUGUUUAAUUUUAUGGUGUCUUUGGCAAGCACGGAACAAGUCAAGGUUUGAGGGGACUCGGAUGGAGCCACAGGGGGUUAUUUGUGCGGUGGGCAGUGAGGUGGAGCAGUUAGGAAGGGCAAAUUUAUGGUCCUUGGCGCACUUCAAGGGUGACUUGGAUGAUCCAUGGGUGUUAUUUGCUGCUUGGCGGCCACAGGCAACACGGCGGUUGCUGAUUUCUUGGAAGCCACCGCCACAAGAUGUCGUCAAGUUGAACACGGAUGCCAGUGUUUCAGGUAGGAGGGUAUCGGGAGGUGGCUUGCUAUGGGACCAUGAUGGUGGCUUGAUCUUUGUAUUCUAUAAGGAAUUCGGGGAUGUUGACGUGCUGACCACCGAGAGUUUAGCAUUACUGCAGGGUUUGCUCUUCUGCAAAAGGGUUCGGGUUCAGAGGCUAUUAGUGGAGGUGGACUCGACGGGGUUGGCUCACUUGCUGGGCUCAAGGGCCUUGGCAAAAUGGCCGUUAUGUAACACAUUACGGCAGAUUCGAGCCAUGCUUCAGAGCUUCAAUACCACUGCUAGACACAUAUUCAGAGAAGUGAACGCCGCGGCGGAUAAAUUAGCAAUGAUGGAGGCUUAGGCUGACUUUUUUACCACGACCUUCCAGCAACUUCCGAGGGAUGUUAGAGCUAUUAUACUUCUAGAUAGCAGGGAAGUUCCUUUUGUUCGAGCACAAAUUGUGAGAGAGUAGAACCCUGGGCUCUGCUUUCUGCUUCAACAAUGUAAUUUGGUCUUCUUAAUAAAUAAAAUCUAUUGAAAAAAAAAGUGAUAGUUUAUAAAUAAUGGAGAUGUUUUUAUCAUAUAUUGAACUAUUGUUACAAGUUUCAUUUUUUUAAAUAUACUUUCAUGUGCCCGUGAUUAUAAUAUUUUACUAUUUUUAAAUUUCUCCAUAGAUUAUAAUUUUUUUAAAAAAUGUAAUCUGCUGUGCGUAGCACGGGUAUUUAUACUAGUACUAGUAUAAUUUGAGAGGAGAUUAGGAACUUAUAUUGACAUUGGAAUAGCUUCAAAUUUAAGGGCAAAAAGGACUCCAGGAUAGCUGGAAAAACAAAAGUUUUGCGGAUCCAAAUGGAUACAUCUAAAAGACUAUGGGAUUAACUUGAAAAUGAUACCAAAGUCGAUCGAGGAAAAUAAAUUUAACCAAAUCUGAAAAUUGAAAAUUUUCCGCUUGUCUAUAUAUCCUUCAACGAACCUAUUUAACCUUUCUUAUUUCCUUGCACGCGCCCGCAAUUCGUGGUGUCAACGGAGAAACUCAGUGGACUUUGGUGGCGGACUCAUUUGAAACUAAUUUAAACUUAAAUGGAAAAUUUUGAUAACCCAACGAAUACACUUUCGUUUAAAGUUCAAAGACCAGGAUGCUCACUUUACCUAAAUUUUAUGAGCUUCAUAGAUAGAAUCACCAUGACAUAUAGAUGUGAUGCGUAUUCCACAAAAAGAUAGCCUUAAGCAUGGAGUCAAUGGAGGAACUCAAAUCAAUUUGUUCUACUGUAAUUGUGGUUGCCAAUUUGGCAAGCAAGGCCUUAAUUUUUUUUUAUUAGAUCCGAGAGUUUUUUCAAAUUUUGUAUGCCAAAUUUAGGAUUUGUAGGCCCUCCCAUCAAAAUUCAUCCUAGAAUUUGAGCUUGAACUAGUUGAACAACAGAUUAGACAGUAUUAACAUACACAAAUGUUCAUUGGUUUACUGGUGAUUUAUUUGAGUUUGAAAUCUGUUGGAACUUCAAAGUGUAAUAUCUAUUAUUUUUUAAAUGUAUUAGAUAUAUUGAUUUUUUUCAAAUUUGUUCAUUUCCUGGCAUGUGUCAAUGUACUCUCUGUCAUUAAUAUAGAUCUGAUGAAAUAAAAAUAUUUUUUUAUUUUAUUAGAAAAAGAAAAAUAAGUAGACCCGCUAUAUUAGACCUAAUGACAUUUUCAAUUUGUUGUUACAAAAUUUCUUUCUAAUAAUGAUGACAAGCAUUGUUCUUUGCCUUUAGAAAAUGAUCUUCAACCAUUUAACUUACUUGUAUCUCUUGAUUAGUUCUUACGAAUAAGACCCCCAAAAAAAAAAAAAAACCAAGAAAGUUAGACCCAUUUGGUUGGCCGUGCUUCAAUGUCCAAGAAGUUGGGGGGAAUCCAGAAUUUGUAUUCCAAGUCAAUUGUCAAGGUUCAAAUUACAUUCCUUUUCACCAUUACGAGGUAGCCAAGGUCCUGUCUAAAUCAACUUGACCAUUCUUCGAAAAGGAAAAAAGCUGGACCCUUCUUGUAAUGACUUAUCCAGAUUCUUCAGCAAACCAGCCAACCAUUUGUUGUUUAGAGGUCCAUAUCAUACAUAUUGCCAGUUAAAAUUUCUCUCUAAGUAUUUUAAUUUUUGUUCAAUUGAAGUGUUAUUGAAACUUGGAUAAAGUUAUUACAAGAAACAGCAAAAUCAACAGAAGUAAUUCCAUUAGUAUCCAAAAAAAAAAGUAAAAAAAAUACAUAUCCAGAAUAGCUGCCUCAGACAAAUAGCAAGCUUAUAAAUCCAAUUUCUCUAACUUUUUAACUUUUACUGAUACAAUUACCUCAGCACAAUUUCAAGUGAUUAAUACAAUAGUUUACAAUUCAUCGAUAUUACAAUUUGAUCUACACUUGGAGGUAUAAAUACUCGUCAACAAAACAUUCUAUCCCGUACUUCAUAGGACAAAUACUAAUGUAAAAUUAGAUUAAAGUCCACAAGUCAUGAGGACUAUAUAAUAGUUUGAUUGUAAAUUGAAUGACAAGUAAUUAUUUUAUCAAAGAGACAAAUUUAAGUGAUAGGUGGAACAAGAAAAAUGAAAUGCUGCCCGUAAUAUAGUACGUAUGUUUAUUAGUUUAAUAUGUUUAAUGAUCUAAUAGCCAAUAGUCAGAAACUUGUCGAAUCAAAUACUUAAAUUACUUUGCUUCUUGAUCUGCAUCAAAUCAUUGACUUAUAAAAAUUUUUAUUAUAGAUUUUGUAAAAUAAUCAGUACUGGAUGACUUUCAACAAGUUUAAUAAUAAUAUUUUUCUCUUUAUUUAUUAAAAAAAAGAGUAAAAAUUUUUGUAAAUCACAAAAUUUGAAUUCAAGAUGUGUCAAUGACUCAUUGAUAAGCACAACAUAAUGGAAUUUAAUUGUCAUUGUCAUCAUCUGUUAUUUAAACUUGUACCCAUCCUUUGGCACGAGGGAAUUGCUCUACCAUUUUCUAUUUCCUCGUCUCUACCCACUUUUACUUUUCAAAUAUUUCGUCAGAUUUGAAGAUUUUCUAGUCUUACUAAUUAGUGUUAUUUGCGGAAUUUAGAAGUGACUAGAUAGACAGAAGCUUCACGUGGUUUAUACCUAAUUCUCCAAAAAAAAAAUUUCCUCGUGAAAACGACAGGUAAUGUGUUUUCUGAUACCUAAUUCUCCAAAAAAAAAAAACAAAGGAAAAGAAAAUUAAGUUAUGAGACUUGCAAGGAUACACUAUGGACAAAUUAUAUUUCGUACCCUAAAACUUUAUAUUAAUGUGGCUAUAUAGUUCACCUCUACUCGUGGCGUCCCCGUCCUUUCUUCACAUAGCUUUUCCCCUACUCGAAAGUCAAUUCUAAAUCUACCUUUCUAAUUGUAAAGAAUCAGAUCAUUAUUUAGGUGAUUCAGCCAAAAGAAGAAAAACCAAAAAGAUGUUUAUCUAGGUGUAAUAUAUGUGAAGAAGACAAAACUUUAGAGCCGACCAUAACACAAAAUGGACCAUCUUGUACGAAACAAAACACAUGCACGAAACGAUUUACACAAAAUCAACACACAAUCAAGUGAAAAGAUUUUUUGUAUGUAUAUAAAAAAGAAGAGAAUUUCAAUCAAUUAAAGAAAGCCGAACCAAUGGUAACAAAUGCGUGAAAAACAUGCAACAAAAAAAAAAAACAACAGAUGAAAGGGAUUUUCUUGACGUCUUAGAAACCAAUAAGAAAUAAUACUGUACAGCUCCAAAAUUUUCUUACAAACACAGAUUCUCUGUAGCUCCAAUGCAUGAUUCGUGCAUGUUUUCCACGGACAGAUUAUAUAAAUUUUAGUUUCGAACUCUGAAACAAUUGAUUUAACAAGUUUUAGUUUAAAGGCCAAGUUUUUCUCCUAUAAGUUUUUUUAACAACGUUAUAUAUAUUAACUCAAAAAACUCCUCAAAAUUUUUAAUAUACACACUUCAAAAAUACCAAAAAAUACAAAUAAACUUCACUUCUUUCCUUUCCUCUUCUUCCUCCCCCACAUCAACCCACCACCACCUCCGGCGCCGGACACCUCUUCCGAAAAAGGAAAAAGAAAAGGAAAAGAAAAAAAAAUUUACAUCUUAAAAUAUUUUUCUAUAAUUUCUACGGUAAAUUACAGUAAAGCUUAUAUCAGUUUUACUUUCAAACUCUGCUUCCAAACAGAUUGAACCAAAUUGAUUUAAAAGACCCCACAUCUAACAAGAACAUAGAAAAUAAAGAAAAUAAUAAUCAUAAAAAACUCUCAUUAAGAAACAAAGAAAUUUUUACUAGGAAAAUGCUAGACGAGAAUAAACUCUUACUAGGAAAAUUCCAGAAGAGAAAAAUUUAUUUCAAAAGCAAAGACAAAAACAAUUGGGACAGACACCAGGGGAACUGGAGAAUGAGAGGUGGAGUUCGUUAGCUGAAGAAAUUUUUGAAAGAAGAGGGAAAGAGGGUGAGCAAAUGAAGAGAUAAAUAUGAGGAAGUAUCCAAAUGCAUAUGCACUUGAUUUCUACAUGGCUUUUUCUAUUUGUGGUCGGACGGCACGAUACACUUACCAAAUAAAAUAAUGUACUCAUUAUGAAAUUCUAACAUUAUCAUGCACCUAGUAAACUGCGUAUAAUAAAUGAAUCUUGUAUACACUAUUAUCAUUAGAUAUAUGAUAUAUGUAUAAAAUUUGAAUUUGAAAUUCAAAAGUUACUCAUAUGUCAUCGAUCUAACCGUGAUAGUGUAUAUAUUGGCAGUGUAUAUGAAAUUUAUUCAAAUAAAUUGCUAUCAAUAUAAACUUUUGCUGAUUAGAUAACAGUGGAACCACCUAUUAACUAAUUUAAAAUUCACCAUUAGUGUACUUCAGGUUAAUUGUUCACUAAUAUUGUAAAAGGUUUUAACAUAAACCACAAAACAAGUGAACGGAUUAGUUGGUCAACAGUUAAUAGAUUUAGCAUGGCGGGGCCAGGAUUUUUAAAAAGAGAGGGUGAACUUAAAAAUAUGGCAAUUUUACUUUACGAGUCUAAAUUUGAAAAUUAUAAGAUGCAUGUUAAUUUUUUGUGACUAUAUCGCUUAAUAUUUUGGUCUUUAUAGUUAAUCCGAAAUCAAUGUAAAUUAUUUUAAACCAAAUUUCUAUAUGAAGAAGUUUUUUAUGAUUUUAAGAUGGUUUUUAAUAGAGUAAUAAUAAAAAGUAAGUCUACAAACCACAAGAAGGAAGCUAUUUCCCCAAUAUUGGAACAAGAUACAUGAUAAUAUACCAAAUUCGUGUAACUAUUCAUGUCUCUACCUUCUCAUUUCUUGUGUACCGGAAAAACGAACUUCUCUUUGCUUUAAUACCAAAUUUCAGGGAGGUAAUACAUAAAGUUCUAAAAAAAAACAUGUAUUAUGAAGUUAAAUUAUGUAUAUGAACUAAAUAGAAGUCUAAAGUAUUUAAAGUCUAAAAGAUAAUAAUUUUCAUGAGGCAAAAAUUAGAUUGGGAGAGGGGGGGGGGGGAAUAUGAUUUUAAAUGGAAAAUCCAAAGUAUUCAGGAAUCAAAAGGAAUUUUUCAGAACUUGGACAAACCUGCCCCUAGCGCCCUUAUGACUCUGCCACUGCCGACUACCAUAAAAAAACAAAAAAGAUUUGACAUAAUCACUUAAAUUUGACUGAUAUAUGAAAGACGUCAGAAGCUUUAACUAUUUAUCCUUAUUUGUCUUCUUAAAGAGGACAAACACGACGACAAACACGACGAUAAAGAAAACCCAAGUUGGAUUCAUUCAAUUAGCCAAUAAAACUGUCUGUUUCCUGUUAGACCAAGGACUUUGCCAUGCUUGAAAACCUUAUUCCAUCCGGCAGCCACAGGUUUAUGGAUAAAAAAAAAAAGGGAUUUGUGCGCCUCAAUAAUUGCUAAAUGAUGGAUAAGGAACGGUUGGAGGCAAAAUUGAUUUUAAACGGUUGAGAUCAGUUUUUGUAUAGGUUGCAUGAGAUAAAUGUUAACAUAUUUUAAACGUAUAAUUGUAAAUUUUGAUAUAGGUCAUAUAAAAUUUUUUGCAUCAAUUAUUACUUAAAUGAUAUAUCUAUUUAAGUAUGAAUUAAUUUAUUCUACAUUAUGAAAGUAUAAUUUUUUUACGUUUCUGAACAAUUUUAAGUGCAUGACAUAUAAUUUUUAUUUAAAUUUAAGUAUUAUAUAUAUAUAAUUACUAGAGUAAAAAAUCUUAUUAUACAAACUCAUCCAAGUAUUCAGGCAAUUUUGCUUGAUAACAACUUAGAUCACAUUUCAACAAAACAAUAAUAACAAUAAUAAUAUGCAGCCGCUAGAGCUGUUAAGCCAAUCAAGUAGCUCGAAAGCUCGUUAGAGCUCGGCUCGUUAAGGCUCGAGCUCGGCUCGUUAAUUUUGGUUAACGAGUCAAGCUCGAGCUCGAAACAUGCUCGUUUAGUUAACGAGCCGAGUAAGCUCGGCUCGUUUGAUACUCGAGUAGCUCGUUAGAGCUCGUUAAUGAAGGGCAUAUUUGUCAUUUUAGAAAUUAAAAUUAUAUAAAUUAAAAAUUAUAGGUUUUUAUUAAUGUUAAUUUGCACGAGCUCGAGCUCGAACUCGAGCCACAUGUACAUUUAACGAGUCGAGUUCGAACACAUUUUAAAGCUCGUUUUCUUAACGAGCUCGAGUUGAGCUCGGCUCGAAUUAAACUCGAGUCGAGCUCGGCAGCCCAAUACUCGGCUCGACUCGGCUCGAUUAACAGCUCUAGCAGCCGCCCAAAGGGCUGAUGGUCACCACAAGAAAUUUAGUCUGGUCAAGGUGUGGGAGGUCAAGAUCCUUGCCUUCUAUCAAUUUGUCAUUAUAUAUGAUUGUUUUGAAUGAUUUUCUCCAAUGGUGAUUCAAUUCCUUCGACUCCCCUUCCUCUUAGAUUAGAAACAUAGAUUAGAUUAUAGAAAUAUUACUAUUGUGAUAAAAAAUAAUAAUAAUAAAAUAGGGCAGCCACACAUUAUCGGUCAAGAUAUAAAGAAAAUGUCCAGCCAUCAGAAGUGGGACCUUUGCACUUCAGGUAAGAUGGUCCAACAAGGCAAAACGACCUAGAACAACUGGAAUUUAAGUCAUGUGUUGUUGGUGGGCCAAAUGGAAAUUUCCAUCCAUUUACAAGCUUUCGACCACUACAUGAUUUAUUGAUUUUCAAGUGUUCUCUAGUCUCCGCUCCUGCCAGCUUUCUCCUAUAAAUUGCCACCCCAAUAUCCAAAUCCCACACACAACACACAAACACACAAAAUACACAACAAAAUCCAACUCCCACGCACAAAACACACACUUUAGGCAAGAAAAGUAGCCACCACAAAGGCUAAUAAGAUGGAGAACUUCCCAGUAAUCAACAUGAAAAACCUCAAUGGUGACAAGAGAGCUUCCACCAUGGAGCAUAUAAAGGAUGCUUGUGAAAACUGGGGUUUCUUUGAGGUACUAUACAUUC